CACGGUGGCGCUGAUUGGUUGAUCUGGGGGAAGGUGGCGUAGGGCGCGGGGGGCGGCUGUAAGGAAAGCUCUGGAAGAUUCGGGUGCUGCUGGGCGCCGAUUGGUGCGCGGUGAGGACACACGGGAUACAGCUUUAAGAUCUGUGCUGCCAGGAUAAACAGGCUUGGGCACAUCUUUGACCCAGAGGAACAUGUGGCAAUUCACUGUGCUUCUGAUGUAAGGAGACUUCUAAAGGGCAUUUUAUAAAGACGCCAUCAGCCUAAAAUCACAGGUUUGUGUCUGCGUGUUAUGCCAGUGAAAGCAACAAUUAAUAACUAGGUCUAUUCUAAAAAUUACUUGUCUGCAUCUUUUCAGUCUACCUCCUGCCUGGGAGUGUUUUGGAUCUGAUCCAAGCUGCACUGCAGUGAAGGAGCUCCCUUUGUUCCUGUUCUCUCUGCUGCGUCUGAGCCGAUUUAGCAUGUGGUUUCUGGGGUGAGGUUUUCCAGCAGGAUAGGAAAGCAGCACCUUGAAAAACAGAAAAACGCCCUUCUGACCAGACUUCGCCCGUUGGUUCAGAUGUGAUACCUCCUGUAUUUUGUCUUCAGAUUCAGCUCGGAUCCCUUGGCGAAAAGCUUUAGCAAAAGCUUCUUCAUCAAGCUUCUACUAAAGUUUGGCAAACAUUGCAGCAGAUUUGGACGUAAUGUACCAGCGAAAGCUGUUAACUCUUUGGGCGCUGGGGAACACCUGCCGCCCAGGUACUGACAAUACAGCAUGAAACCACUGACAUGUAGGGCUUGCAAAUCAGAAUACCCAUGAAAUUUAUCAUCAGCGAGAGAUCCAUUAUAAAGUCUUUAAUUGAUUAUUUAUGUGAGAGCCACUUUUGAGCUUUAAGAGUCCUUUGUAAUAAAAUAUGAAGCAAAUAAAAAAGGAGGAAGCAUUUCUUUACUGUAGCCUUCUGAAACAAAACUGCAUUUUGUUCUUCCAUUUUGUCUCCCAGUUCUUUAUCCUGAAGCAUCACAGCGGAACAGAAUUUAGCUUCUCAAAAUACUUUCUACAUUUAAAAUAUGUUGAACUAAUUGUGGAGCAGCACAGAGAGCGAUAGAUUUGCAGAUAUUACAUGGACUGCAUGUUCACUCAUUUUCUCACUGAAACUGCUCUUUGAGGGUGUACAAGUGCUAAUGUCUCCUGGCUUGCAGAGAGGAGGUCAUUUGUGUGAACUGAUCACUAACAAGCUCCUAAA
Molecule: long non-coding RNA, 1219 nt
Organism: Chroicocephalus ridibundus (black-headed gull)
Lineage: Eukaryota; Metazoa; Chordata; Aves; Charadriiformes; Laridae
Exons: 4
Source: RefSeq, a predicted model, not a curated record